CCUUUGCAAAAAGACACAUGAUCGCCUUCCCGUCCCCAAAUUUCCCACUCUAGUUCCUUCAAGAUCACAAUGUCAACUAAUGUCCAGCCACAUAUGUGAUUCCAAUUACCAAAUUUGUUCAUAUGUUUACAAAUAUAAAGAAUAACCAUCUCAAAGUGUGUCUUAUCGAUGCUUGUGAGACCUUUGCAGUUCAUUUUGGC
RNAcentral lists this long non-coding RNA (200 nucleotides) under Manihot esculenta (cassava). RNAcentral describes it as "long non-coding RNA (MESC_LNC003206)". Lineage: Eukaryota; Viridiplantae; Streptophyta; Magnoliopsida; Malpighiales; Euphorbiaceae. The record is from RNAcentral.